ACGCAUCAAAAAAUUUUCACUAACAAGAUGAUAAUUUAUUUGUUUAAGUCGCGAGUUCUUUAGCAAUUCAUUAGCUAGUCAAUAAGUCAUCAAAUAUCUUAUAGUUGGACGUAAUAUUUAUUAUUGAUAUAGCUCUUUCACUGUUUUGGUGAAAAAGAUUAUAAUGCAGAAUAAUUUUGAUUUUGUCACUUUCAGUUCCCUAUUUUUUAUUCUCCACCCUUUAAACAUUUUAAAAAGUGGACGGACAAUUUCUUUUUAAUGAUGAAACUCAAAAAUCUUAAAAUUUUAUUAAAUGCGCAUUUAUCAAUCCAACUAACUAUCAAACAGCCGAAUUACCAAGUUGUGUGAUAUGCACUGUAGAUAAAUAUAUAUUUGAGGUGUAAGAUUUCAUACCUCUAUCACCUAUUGGGCAUCAGCUUUUUUACAUUUUCAGGAAAAUGGUGCUGCAUUUUUUCAAUGCAAUUACUUCUAUUUAUUAUCAUUACGUCAGUGAUUGCUAUUAUUAUUCUAACUAAACAGAAGCACUGUAAGCUUGCGCAGGUGGUCGGAUAGAAGCGUUUCGGAGAAGAGCAGCAUGCUGCUGUACGUGCGGGCAUGCUUGGAUCAUGGGAGGAGCAGUGUAUGGUCCUUCUAAUAAA
Molecule: long non-coding RNA, 638 nt
Filed under: Phoenix dactylifera (date palm)
Lineage: Eukaryota; Viridiplantae; Streptophyta; Magnoliopsida; Arecales; Arecaceae
Description: long non-coding RNA (PDAC_LNC019326)
Source: RNAcentral